GCGCCGGUAGCUCAGCUGGAUAAAGCAUUGGAUUUCUGAUCCGACGGUCGCAGGUUCGAGUCCUGCCCGGCGCG
This 74-nucleotide transfer RNA is filed under the name Planctomycetota bacterium. RNAcentral's name for it is "tRNA-Arg". It matches the Rfam family "tRNA". From Rfam's summary of the family: Transfer RNA (tRNA) molecules are approximately 80 nucleotides in length. Lineage: Bacteria; Pseudomonadati; Planctomycetota. RNAcentral also lists the same sequence under 1 other name. The record is from RNAcentral.